UGCGGGUGCGAUGGAAAACUGAGUCAAAUGCUUUGGUGUAGUCAAGAAGAGUUAGGAAGGUUAAAUUUCCGUUAUCCAUUCUUUCUCGGAUAUCUUAUUCCAUUUUUUUAAUGGCAGUAGUU
Molecule: long non-coding RNA, 122 nt
Organism: Drosophila subobscura
Lineage: Eukaryota; Metazoa; Arthropoda; Insecta; Diptera; Drosophilidae
Exons: 3
Source: RefSeq, a predicted model, not a curated record